UACGUAGGGUGCGAGCGUUAAUCGGAAUUACUGGGCGUAAAGCGUGCGCAGGCGGUUUUGUAAGCCAGAUGUGAAAUCCCCGGGCUUAACCUGGGAAUGGCAUUUGGGACUGCAAGGCUGGAGUUUGGCAGAGGAGACUGGAAUUCCCGGUGUAGCAGUGAAAUGCGUAGAUAUCGGGAGGAAUACCGAUGGCGAAGGCGGCAUCCUGGACCGGCAUUGACGCUGAGGAGCGAAAGCUAGGGGAGCAAACGGG
RNAcentral lists this ribosomal RNA (253 nucleotides) under uncultured bacterium. RNAcentral describes it as "partial 16S ribosomal RNA". It matches the Rfam family "Bacterial small subunit ribosomal RNA", at positions 524 to 776 of the family's 1533-position model. The record is from RNAcentral.